GUUCUGAUCUGAAUGAGGGAAAUGGAUCUGCUCAGCCUUCUAGUCAUUCCUGCAACAUGUUACCCAUUUGGACUGGGUCUACAGGAAGGACAGAUACACCCUUCAAUCCUGGCUACUGGCUCGACAGAGGAGAAACUGCUUUGCUUAUAGAAGAAAUUACCAUCACAUGGAACAAAGGAAAAUUUCUUCAGGGCAGACUAACUGAAGGGAAUAGCUUCUAUCCUUAGAAUCCACUGUGGACCAAAAGGCUAAAGCUGCAAAGCAAAGAGCCCCCUUAUGUGAGAUGCCUGAGUCUAAAAGAGAAGACUUUUUUCAGAGAAGACUGGGGUGCUGGGCAUAUUACAGAAUUGGAACCUAAGAUGUCCGUGAUAACAGGUCAUAUUUAUAUUACAAGCAUCUCAAAUAUGCAAAUCAACCUGAUAUAACAAGGACUACGAAUACGCUAUUGCUUCCUCCUUUUAAAAAUUGUUAGGGUGAAGCUUGAUUUCUUAAAAUCACUAAGGACUUUCAGUAAUUUCUUCAAUAUUAACCUCAUGUAAGGAACAACAGAUUGCCUUUCUAUUUCAG
Molecule: long non-coding RNA, 567 nt
Filed under: Struthio camelus australis
Lineage: Eukaryota; Metazoa; Chordata; Aves; Struthioniformes; Struthionidae
Description: lncRNA (ENSSCUG00000016126.1)
Source: RNAcentral